This 301-nucleotide ribosomal RNA is filed under the name uncultured bacterium. RNAcentral describes it as "partial 16S ribosomal RNA". It matches the Rfam family "Bacterial small subunit ribosomal RNA", at positions 509 to 807 of the family's 1533-position model. The record is from RNAcentral.
CAGUAGCCGCGGGAAUACGGAGGGUGCAAGCGUUAAUCGGAAUUACUGGGCGUAAAGCGCACGCAGGCGGUUUGUUAAGUCAGAUGUGAAAUCCCCGGGCUCAACCUGGGAACUGCAUUUGAAACUGUCAGGCUGGAGUCUUGUAGAGGGGGGUGGAAUUCCAGGUGUAGCGGUGAAAUGCGUAGAGAUCUGGAGGAAUACCGGUGGCGAAGGCGGCCCCCUGGACAAAGACUGACGCUCAGGUGCGAAAGCGUGGGGAGCAAACAGGAUUAGAUACCCGCGUAGUCCCUGUCUCUUAUAC